Regulatory RNA element from Mesonia phycicola, 56 nucleotides. Lineage: Bacteria; Pseudomonadati; Bacteroidota; Flavobacteriia; Flavobacteriales; Flavobacteriaceae. The record is from Rfam.
AAUCACAGGGAAAAAUUUGACUGAUUGCAACCCUUAAAAAUGCUAAAGCAGUAAAU